UGUUUCCCAGAACUGCAUGUUGGUCUGUUGUUGAGCGGCUGGUAUCACCCCUCCCCCAUUAUCCCCCAUGUUGCUCCACCUCCUUGUGGGAGGAGCCAGGCGAGGCCACAGAUCAGACUCCUCCAUCUCAUCCCACCAACUCUGUCAGUCCACCAGGCCACUGCAGUAACAGCCAUAUCUUCACGUCGCGUAGCUUCAGUACCAUCUCAUCCCACCAACUCUGUCAGUCCACCAGGCCACUGCAGUAACAGCCAUAUCUUCACGUCGCGUAGCUUCAGUACCAUCUCAUCCCACCAACUCUGUCAGUCCACCAGGCCACUGCAGUAACAGCCAUAUCUUCACGUCGCGUAGCUUCAGUACCAUCUCAUCCCACCAACUCUGUCAGUCCACCAGGCCACUGCAGUAACAGCCACAUCUUCACAUCACAAAGCUUCAGUACCAUCUGAAUGUGUUGAAGUACCAUCCAGGAUCCUGUGGCAACGUCAAUAUGAAACAGCAUUGACCCGUGAUCACCACCAACCAGGGAUCCACAGCGGUUGUCUUGGACACCCAGGGAAAACAGCAUUGACCCGUGAUCACCACCAACCAGGGAUCCACAGCGGUUGUCUUGGACACCCAGGGAAAACAGCACUGACCCGUGAUCACCACCAACCAGGGAUCCACAGCGGUUGUCUUGGACACCCAGUGAAACAGCAUUGACCCGUGAUCACCACCAACCAGGGAUCCACAGCGGUUGCCUUGGACACCCAGUGAAACAGCACUGACCCGUGAUCACCACCAACCAGGGAUCCACAGCGGUUGUCUUGGGCACCCAGGGAAAACAGCAUUGACCCGUGAUCACCACCAACCAGGGAUCCACAGCGGUUGUCUUGGACACCCAGGGAAAACAGCACUGACCCGUGAUCACCACCAACCAGGGAUCCACAGCGGUUGUCUUGGACACCCAGUGAAACAGCAUUGACCCGUGAUCACCACCAACCAGGGAUCCACAGCGGUUGCCUUGGACACCCAGUGAAACAGCACUGACCCGUGAUCACCACCAACCAGGGAUCCACAGCGGUUGCCUUGGACACCCAGGCUUCACUCAAGAUCAACAAAAGGACAUUUGGAAGGAUCCCAUUGAGCAAAGUAAACAACGAUAUAUUUUUUCAUGUCUUUUGCUCGUAGGGAUGACUUCCCGAGAGAGCACACCAGGCAGGAGGGAGCACUUUGAUGUGAUUGGCUGUUCAGCAGGAAGUUUCAUCUGGCCACACAGAAGGGAUGAUGAAUCUGACAGAGAAUGUUUUUUUUUAAUAAGUAUUAAAAAAAGAUGAAAAGUA
Oncorhynchus mykiss (rainbow trout) is the source of this 1319-nucleotide non-coding RNA. Lineage: Eukaryota; Metazoa; Chordata; Actinopteri; Salmoniformes; Salmonidae. The record is from RefSeq and is a predicted model, not a curated record.